This 358-nucleotide small RNA is filed under the name Pan troglodytes (chimpanzee). RNAcentral's name for it is "processed transcript". The record is from RNAcentral. Lineage: Eukaryota; Metazoa; Chordata; Mammalia; Primates; Hominidae.
ACCUGAGGCACGGUGGUGCCUGGUGGGAACUACGAGAAAGACCGAGCUGGGGUUGGUUGGAAAGCCAACGUGUGCGACGACGACCAGCUGCUGUGCCAGAACGGAGGCACCUGCCUGCAGAACCAGCGCUGCGCCUGCCCGCGCGGCUACACCGGCGUGCGCUGCGAGCAGCCCCGCUGCGACCCCGCCGACGAUGACGGCGGUCUGGACUGCGACCGCGCACCCGGGGCCGCCCCGCGCCCCGCCACCCUGCUCGGCUGCCUGCUGCUGCUGGGGCUGGCCGCCCGCCUGGGCCGCUGAGCCCCGCCCGGAGGACGCUCCCUGCACCCGGAGGCCGGGGGUCCCGGGGUCCCGGGGC